Molecule: long non-coding RNA, 459 nt
Organism: Nomascus leucogenys (northern white-cheeked gibbon)
Lineage: Eukaryota; Metazoa; Chordata; Mammalia; Primates; Hylobatidae
Exons: 3
Source: RefSeq, a predicted model, not a curated record
AGACCCAGCUUAGUUGCUACCUUUUCUAUGGGGUCUUCUUUCAUUCCCCAGCCACUGUCUUCCCCUGAACUCUCAAAGAACUUGUGAUCUUACCAACACAUUCGAGUUGCAUUUCUGUAGUAGUUGUUUUGUAUACAUGUGUUACAUCUUAUUCAAGACUCUGAACUUCCAGAAAUCAGGGACAAUAUAUUCUAAUAAUCACAGUUCCCAUAACACACAGGACAAUGGACUUUAUAUAAUGUUCUUUUUGGUCCUUAUCUCUGAUCAAAUAAGAAAAUAUGCAGUCAUCGUGUCUGCUCUUGGAAGGAGUAAUCAAUAUUCACCAAAGGAUCAGCAAGCAGAAGAAAUUGAUAUUACACUAUGAGCCUAUUUGAAACAAACCAACAAAAAUAGGUGCCCCAGCUUCUGCCUACAGGAAUUCUCAGUAGGAUCUCUUGGAAAAUGGUCUCAGACAUCACA